Molecule: ribosomal RNA, 425 nt
Filed under: uncultured bacterium
Lineage: Bacteria
Description: partial 16S ribosomal RNA
Rfam family: Bacterial small subunit ribosomal RNA
Source: RNAcentral
GUGGGGAAUAUUGCACAAUGGGGGAAACCCUGAUGCAGCGACGCCGCGUGAGUGAAGAAGUAUUUCGGUAUGUAAAGCUCUAUCAGCAGGGAAGAUAAUGACAGUACCUGACUAAGAAGCCCCGGCUAACUACGUGCCAGCAGCCGCGGUAAUACGUAGGGGGCAAGCGUUAUCCGGAUUUACUGGGUGUAAAGGGAGCGUAGACGGAAUGGCAAGUCUGAAGUGAAAUCCUGCGGCUUAACUGCAGAAUUGCUUUGGAAACUGUCAAUCUGGAGUGUUGGAGAGGUAAGCGGAAUUCCUGGUGUAGCGGUGAAAUGCGUAGAUAUCAGGAAGAACACCGGAGGCGAAGGCGGCUUACUGGACAAUAACUGACGUUGAGGCUCGAAAGCGUGGGAAGCAAACAGGAUUAGAAACCCCAGUAGUCC